CCCCAUUUAUCUUUUAGUUGCUAACCCUAACUCAGAUCUCUCCUCAUCUCUUCUCCCCUUCAUUAUUUUCUCAGCCGCCCUUUCUCUAUUCCCUCUUCCUCCUCUCUCUCUCUCUCUCUCUCUCUCUCUCUCUCCCUCUGUGACGACAACGCUCAACUAGGCAAAGCUCAAGGGAGAGCUUGUGCGUGCUUUAGGAGGCGCUGUAGCAUCCACUUUUCUUUUGCUCCAAAGGGCCAUGACCUAGGGGCUGGGAGAGGAUCUUAAUAGAGAAGGCUUGAAGAAAAUGCCUCUUCGUGUUGCCAAGAGACCUCCGAGAAGGAGCAAGGGGAAGAUGGAGCAUUUUUUUUUUUCACUGGAAGAUGGAAUAGUUUGAAUGUUAUUUAUGUAAUUUUAUUUGCUAUAUGUGUUUUUCUUUUGUUAUUGGGUUGUAAUUUUAAAUUUAAUGUUUGCUAAAUUUUGUUUGGGACAAUUGGAAGGGAAUUAGGCUAAUUGUGAA
This is a long non-coding RNA of Prunus avium (sweet cherry), 496 nucleotides long. RefSeq lists it as uncharacterized. The record is from RefSeq and is a predicted model, not a curated record. NCBI's taxonomy places the organism in Eukaryota, Viridiplantae, Streptophyta, Magnoliopsida, Rosales, Rosaceae.